This is a non-coding RNA of Pelobates cultripes (western spadefoot toad), 519 nucleotides long. Lineage: Eukaryota; Metazoa; Chordata; Amphibia; Anura; Pelobatidae. The record is from the annotation of a GenBank genome assembly.
GGAUUGAUGCUGGAGUUUCCUCAUCCACCCAAGCAACACUGAAGCUUCUAUAGCUUUAAACAGACACUACAGGCACCCAGACCACUUCAUCUUAUUGAAGUGGUCUGGGUGCAGGACCAAGGACUAAGAAAGCCACUAGAGGCACUUCCGGGAAUUUACCAGACUCUGGUUUGCCUUAAUGACGCUGGACGUACUCAUGCUCUGAUGUGUUAUUAGGUCCCCCUUUCAGAUUAUGUCCGAAGAGGCAGAGCACCAACCCAGCACCAAGUGGACAUCAGUGCUGGAAUCGGGUGAGUAAAUAAAGUUUGUUUUUUUUACUUUUUAUGUUCACAGGGGGAGGAGCCGGGCACAAUGGACGGGGGGACUAGCGGGCACUGUAGUGUUAGGAUUACAGAUUUGUAUUUCAAACAUUAUAGAAUCCCUUUAAAUUAUUCAAAAUGAUAUCACACUGAAUGUAAGGUUGGUAACAGGAAACUUUAGGCACUCUAACCUCCUCGAUGACAUGAAUCAUUUACAGUG